GAUGAACGCUAGCGGCAGGCCUAACACAUGCAAGUCGAGGGGUAGAGUUCUUCGGGACUUGAGACCGGCGCACGGGUGCGUAACGCGUAUGCAAUCUACCUUAUACAGGGGAAUAGCCCAGAGAAAUUUGGAUUAAUGCCCCAUAGUGUUAUCGAAUCGCAUGGUUUGAUAACUAAAGUUCCAACGGUAUAAGAUGAGCAUGCGUCCCAUUAGUUAGUUGGUAAGGUAACGGCUUACCAAGACAAUGAUGGGUGGGGGUUCUGAGAGGGAGAUCCCCCACACUGGUACUGAGACACGGACCAGACUCCUACGGGAGGCAGCAGUGAGGAAUAUUGGACAAUGGGCGCAAGCCUGAUCCAGCCAUGCCGCGUGCAGGAUGACGGUCCUAUGGA
RNAcentral lists this ribosomal RNA (392 nucleotides) under uncultured bacterium. RNAcentral's name for it is "bacterial SSU rRNA". It matches the Rfam family "Bacterial small subunit ribosomal RNA", at positions 28 to 422 of the family's 1533-position model. The record is from RNAcentral.